CUCCACAUCUGUGUGCUUGCUUAAAGGACCCAACUAUUCCUCCUGAAAUAAUUAGCAAGUGUUCUAGUGACACAGCACAGCAUUUAGAUGAAAUGAAGAAGAGGGGACUGAGUCUGAGAGGGACCAGGAGGAGGAAGAUGAUGGGUCUCUUGUGCACCUGCUGCUGAGUCAGGUGUCAUUAUGGCUUCACAGCAGGGCCCAGAUCAGCCCCAUGGCCAACCUCCUGGAAGGUCCACAGCUCUGCUGAGCCUGGCCCAGGACAGACUUCAGGUCAGCGAGGUUUGGGACAGUAGCAUGAGGUCAAUUUCCAGGAAGGUGACUGUGAUCACAGGGCUUGAAGGCUGGGGCUGAUUUUCUAACCCCAGAUCCUGCUUCCCCUUUCUCCUGUUGCCUGUGCUGCCCCCACAGCUGGUUUGAGUGACAUCUCUCCAGGAGGAGUCCCAGAGGAUGUUAAUUUGCAUAAACACCAAACACUGACCCCAAAAGCCUGAGAGGGAAUAAGAGAGGCCUGGGGAGCCCAGCUGUGCUGUGGGCCCGGGAGGAAGAGCUCUGGGUGUCUCACGAUGGCCUGGACUUCCCUCCUGCUCCCUCUCCUCACUCUCUGCACAGGCUCUGAUGCGUCCUAUGAGCUGACACAGCCACCCUCCGUGUCAGUGUCACCAGGACUGACGGCCAGGAUCACUUGCUCUGGAGAUGCAUUGCCAAAAAAAUAUGCUUAUUGGUACCAGCAGAAGCCAGGGCAGAUCCCUGUGCUGGUGAUAUAUAAAGACAGCGAAAGACCCUCAGGGAUCCCUGAGCGAUUCUCUGGCUCCAGCUCGGGGACAACUGCCACCUUGACCAUCAGUGGGGCCCAGGCAGAGGAUGAGGCUGACUAUUACUGCUUCUCAGCAGACAGCAGUGGUACUUAUCCCACAGUGACACAGACAGAAAGCCUUUCUGCUCUUGGCCCCAAAACAACAGGUGACACGGUUCUCAGACCCAUGAUUUACGGUGUCAGUAUUCAGGUCUCAGGGGUCCCUGUGGCUUCUCUGGCUCCAAAUCUGGAAGCACAGGCUCCAUGA
Non-coding RNA from Cebus imitator (Panamanian white-faced capuchin), 1061 nucleotides. The record is from the annotation of a RefSeq genome assembly. NCBI's taxonomy places the organism in Eukaryota, Metazoa, Chordata, Mammalia, Primates, Cebidae.